CCCGAGUUGAAUUGAUAUAAAGUUGAUAAGUCACAUCAACUAGCCUCAUGAAGACGUCAAAUCAAUUUAAACCUUAAGAGCAGAAAGGAUUUUGGCAAAGAUCUCCUUCUGAAAUUGGCGGCGUAUCUUCUGAUAGAGGUCCUCGGAGUGCACUUCGCCUCGAUAUCAUGGGCAGGCGAUUCGGUCAGUUCGGCAGAAUCGUCUAUGUCUCACAGUGUGAUAGCAGGUCGUUGAUAUUGGAGAUAUCACUUCGGAACCACUUCAAACGGGUGUCUAGCAGAUCGGAGUGUGUGGUGGUCGACAUUCCGAGGUGGUUCAGACAGGGGCGUAACAACGUCUAUCUUGAUAAUGUAGCAUUAUUGAAGAUAUCAUACCUUGGUAAGUUGCAGGCAUGGGGUUGCCAUUUGUAUUUGAGGUAUAAGGUAUCAGAGCGGCCAUUGUUUUGACAGUUGAACUCUCUCUCAAUGAAUGGACAGGAUUUUAAUUGUAGAGGGGAUGAUGAAUCAGUGACCCAACUUCCUUCAAACAAAUCACAAUUCUUUGCAUUUGAUUGGUUGAUUCUAAGAAAAAUAAACAGCACCGCACAAAAUAUACAGAACUGAGCCUACAGAUUCAUCUCUCUCUCUAAAAUGCAAGAAGUUUAGAGAGAGAAAGUAACUAGGAAUGGCCUCUUCUUGUCACUUCUCUCCUUUCUCAAUCAGUGUUCUCUUUCUGUGUGCAUUAAAUAGAGCUUUG
This 735-nucleotide long non-coding RNA is filed under the name Olea europaea subsp. europaea. Lineage: Eukaryota; Viridiplantae; Streptophyta; Magnoliopsida; Lamiales; Oleaceae. The record is from RNAcentral.